GAGUCGUCAGCGAACAGUGCCAACAUCAU
RNAcentral lists this small RNA (29 nucleotides) under Bombyx mori (domestic silkworm). RNAcentral describes it as "ovarian small RNA-2715". The record is from RNAcentral. Lineage: Eukaryota; Metazoa; Arthropoda; Insecta; Lepidoptera; Bombycidae.